Molecule: ribosomal RNA, 486 nt
Filed under: uncultured bacterium
Lineage: Bacteria
Description: partial 16S ribosomal RNA
Rfam family: Bacterial small subunit ribosomal RNA
Source: RNAcentral
GACGAACGCUGGCGGCGUGCUUAACACAUGCAAGUCGAACGGUGACCCUCGGAGCUUGCUUCGGGGUGAGCAGUGGCGAACGGGUGAGUAACACGUGAGUAACCUGCCCCUGACUCUGGAAUAAGCGCUGGAAACGGCGUCUAAUACCGGAUACGACACGCCUCCGCAUGGGGAGCGUGUGGAAAGUUUUUCGGUCUGGGAUGGACUCGCGGCCUAUCAGCUUGUUGGUGAGGUAAUGGCUCACGAAGGCGAUGACGGGUAGCCGGCCGGAGAGGGCGACCGGCCACACUGGGACUGAGACACGGCCCAGACUCCUACGGGAGGCAGCAGUGGGGAAUAUUGCACAAUGGGCGAAAGCCUGAUGCAGCGACGCCGCGUGAGGGAUGACGGCCUUCGGGUUGUAAACCUCUUUCAGCAGGGAAGAAGCGAAAGUGACGGUACCUGCAGAAGAAGCACCGGCUAACUACGUGCCAGCCGCCGCCGUAA